UGUGUCAAGGGGAAGCAGAGGCUCAAGGGAGAUAUUCUGAGGAAAGCCGAUUAUCCCAUGAUGCAUCAGUGCUGGCCCUGGUUGUGUAAGGGGAAGCAGAGGCUCAAGGGAGAUAUUCUGAGGAGAGAUUAUCCCAUGAUGCACCAGUGCUGGCCCUGGUUGUGUCAAGGGGAAGCAGAGGCUCAAGGGAGAUAUUCUGAGGAAAGCCGAUUAUCCCAUGAUGCAUCAGUGCUGGCCCUGGUUAUGUCAAGGGGAAGCAGAGGCUCAAGGGAGAUAUUCUGAGGAGAGGAGAUUAUCCCAUGAUGCACCAGUGCUGGCCCUGGUUGUGUCAAGGGGAAGCAGAGGCUCAAGGGAGAUAUUCUGAGGAGAGGAGAUUAUCCCAUGAUGCAUCAGUGCUGGCCCUGGUUGUGUCAAGGGGAAGCAGAGGCUCAAGGGAGAUAUUCUGAGGAAAGCCGAUUAUCCCAUGAUGCAUCAGU
Molecule: non-coding RNA, 476 nt
Organism: Podarcis lilfordi (Lilford's wall lizard)
Lineage: Eukaryota; Metazoa; Chordata; Lepidosauria; Squamata; Lacertidae
Source: the annotation of a GenBank genome assembly